This 2741-nucleotide unclassified non-coding RNA is filed under the name Hevea brasiliensis (rubber tree). Lineage: Eukaryota; Viridiplantae; Streptophyta; Magnoliopsida; Malpighiales; Euphorbiaceae. The record is from RNAcentral.
GUCCUGAUCACCGAACAAGAAGUGCUAUGCAGAUGUUUUAUGUUUAGUCCGUCUCUUCCACGGUUCACGUUUCGCAGCUUGCUGAAGUUCUUUGCUUCUUUGAGCUCUGAUCUUUCCUCUGCUCUCGUCAAGGCGUCUCCUUUCUUCUGUAUUUCUGGUUAGAAGCAGAAGAUGGGGAAGAGGAGAGGAAGGGCAUGUGUGGUUGUAUUGGGCGAUAUAGGCCGCAGCCCUCGAAUGCAGUAUCAUGCCCUUUCCCUUGCCCGUCAGGCAUCUCUACAAGUGGACAUUGUUGCAUAUGGAGGUUCUGAACCCCAUAUGGCUGUACUAGAGAAUCAGUUUAUUAAUAUCCACAAAAUGAAACAAUGGCCAGUGCGUCCUCAUGGUCUGCCGAAGAUACUUAAUCCCUUGAUUCUUUUGCUCAAGCCAUUGUUUCAGUUUUUUAUGCUCCUUUGGUAUCUCUGUGUUAAAAUUCCAGCUCCUGAUAUUUUCAUAGUGCAGAAUCCACCAUCUGUUCCAACUUUGGUGGCUGUAAAAUGGGCAAGUUGGCUGAGGAAUUCCAUGUUUAUUGUUGAUUGGCAUAACUUUGGGUAUACUUUAUUGGCACUUUCCCUUGGAAGAAGCAGUCCAUUUGUAGCAGUAUAUCGUUGGUUUGAGAGGCAUUAUGGAAGGAUGGCCAAUGGUUCCCUCUGUGUGACAAAAGCAAUGCAACAUGAAUUAGCUCAAAACUGGGGAAUUAAGUAAGAGGGUCAGCUCAAUAUUCAUAAUUUUCUUCAUCCUAAUUGGAAUUUUUUUUAUUAUCAAUACUGUAGGUCCAUUAAUCAUCUUUGAAAUAUUAAUUGACAGAGCCAUAGUUCUAUAUGAUCAGCCUCCUGAGUUUUUCCAUCCUGCUUCACUUGAGGAAAAGCAUAAGUUGUUUUGCAGAUUGGAUAAAGUUAUCAGUCAGCCUUAUGGUAUUCGUGAUUGCGCCAGCUAUGGAUCCAUAGGAAUGAGGAACUGUGAUUUAACUGAGACUCUGUUUACUACCAUGGCUGAUGGUGAUAUUUUCUUGAAGCCAAAUAGGCCAGCACUUGUUGUUAGCAGUACAAGCUGGACUCCAGAUGAGGAUUUUGGCAUGCUUCUGGAAGCUGCAGUUAUGUAUGAUAGACGUGUUGCUGCAAUCCUAAAUGAAAAUGAUUCUACUCUUGAAGAGGUUCUAUGGAAGGAAUUAUCUGAUGGGAAGCAAUACUUAUAUCCUAGGUUGUUAUUUGUCAUUACAGGUAAAGGGCCUGAAAAAGAAACAUAUGAAGAAAAAAUAAGGAAGCUACACCUCAAGCGUGUGGCAUUUCGGACCAUGUGGUUGUCAGCUGAGGAUUAUCCGUUGCUUCUAGGAUCAGCAGAUCUGGGUGUGUGCUUACAUACUUCAUCUUCAGGGCUGGACCUUCCCAUGAAGGUUGUUGACAUGUUUGGUUGUGGACUGCCUGUUUGUGCUGUUUCCUACUCUUGGUAAAGCAUCGUUGUCUAUUUAUUUCAGCAUGUGACGUAAGGCUUUAGUUAUAUUCUCUCUUUAAAAUGCUAUGUUUUACUUGGUAAUCAUCUCCAUUGUUUGAAGCAUCAAGGAGCUAGUGACAGUUGAUAAAAAUGGUCUCCUCUUUUCAUCAUCUUCAGAGCUAGCUGACGAACUAAUGAUGCUUUUUAAGGGUUUUCCAGAUGAAUGUAAUGCGUUGAAGUCUCUAAGAAACGGUGCACUGGAAAUGGGUUCCUCAAGAUGGGCUACUGAGUGGGAAGAAAAUGCAAAGCCAUUAAUAUUGGAGGCAAGUUUACCUCGCUCACAUUAGAUUGGUAAACUGUAGUAUUAGAUUGGUAACAAUAGAUGAUCCUUCAUAAUCAAAUGUUUUAUCAUGCACAUUUAUGCAGUUCUUUUGGCUGCUUCCAUGCAGCGUCCAAAAUUUCUUUAUGCAUCUUUAUCUACAGCCUUUAAAGGAUUUUGACUUCUAAAUUUGUAGGUUAUUUCUCAGAACUCCAAUUAAUUUCUGGUCUCAAGUUCAAUUCAUUGCACAGUAAUUUAAUGAGGUAAGAUUGGGAUUUCUCUUCAUGUUUUCGGUGGUUGGAAAUUUCUUUUUGUUGUUUUGUUUGGGUGGUUUAAAUUGGAAGGUUUGAUGUUUAAACUACUAAAAAAUUACGGGUGAUGGUAUGAGCAUGGAUAACAUGAUAUUGUGAACCAACCAUGUUCAGAAACCUAAAUGGGAAUAUUAGAAUUUCAAGUUUUUUUUCUUAUUUGAAAGCAACAACGAAUGGGAAUUCACUCAGCUCGUCUGAUUUAUUAGGAUUAGCUGCCAGCAGUUUAUUGCAGGUUUGAAGACCACACAAAGCUUUAUCUCCUAAUGUAUGUGCUAUGUGCUUUGGUAGCUGUGAGACUUGUGACCUUUUCUUGCAUUGCAUCCCACUCUUGCUAUGCAUCUCUGAAAUGGGUUGUUUGAUGUAUUUGGAGAAAUGUAGGUUGGCCCACCAACUUAAGUUUAAGUUGAUUUGUUUGUGUCUUGGGAGAGGAAAGACGCUGAAAGUCCCCUCAGAAUACGCUUCUUUUUUUUCUUAGGUGCAGUCUAUUUGUACCAGUUAUUAUGGUAUUAGGGUUGUGUUUUUGGUUUAGCAAAAUAUUUAACUGGGUUUGAGAAAUUUGUAAGUAGAAUAGCCAGUUUUCUUUUCUGGGUCCAUGUUCGUUUUUCAAAAUAAAGUUUAGGUGAAAACAAAGAAAAAGAAAGUUA